RNAcentral lists this ribosomal RNA (512 nucleotides) under uncultured bacterium. Its description in RNAcentral is "partial 16S ribosomal RNA". It matches the Rfam family "Bacterial small subunit ribosomal RNA", at positions 28 to 507 of the family's 1533-position model. The record is from RNAcentral.
GAUGAACGCUGGCGGCGUGCCUAAUACAUGCAAGUCGAACGAAACUUCUUUAUCACCGAGUGCUUGCACUCACCGAUAAAGAGGUGAGUGGCGAACGGGUGAGUAACACGUGGGCAACCUGCCCAAAAGAGGGGGAUAACACUUGGAAACAGGUGCUAAUACCGCAUAACCAUAGUUACCGCAUGGUAACUAUGUAAAAGGUGGCUAUACUACCGCUUUUGGAUGGGCCCGCGGCGCAUUAGCUAGUUGGUAGGGUAAAGGCUUACCAAGGCAAGGAUGCGUAGCCGACUUGAGAGGUUGAUCGGCCACAUUGGAACUGAGACACGGCCCAAACUCCUACGGGAGGCAGCAGUAGGGAAUCUUCCACAAUGGGCGAAAGCCUGAUGGAGCAACGCCGCGUGAGUGAAGAAGGUCUUCGGAUCGUAAAACCCUGUUGUUAGAGAAGAAAGUGCGUGAGAGUAACUGUUCACGUUUCGACGGUACCUAACCAGAAAGCCACGGCUAACUACGUG